Molecule: small nuclear RNA, 162 nt
Filed under: Dasypus novemcinctus (nine-banded armadillo)
Lineage: Eukaryota; Metazoa; Chordata; Mammalia; Cingulata; Dasypodidae
Description: U1 spliceosomal RNA (ENSDNOG00000030992.1)
Rfam family: U1 spliceosomal RNA
About the family: U1 is a small nuclear RNA (snRNA) component of the spliceosome (involved in pre-mRNA splicing). Its 5' end forms complementary base pairs with the 5' splice junction, thus defining the 5' donor site of an intron. There are significant differences in sequence and secondary structure between metazoan and yeast U1 snRNAs, the latter being much longer (568 nucleotides as compared to 164 nucleotides in human).
Source: RNAcentral
ACACUUACCUGGCAGGGGUGAUACCAUGAUCACAAAGAUGGUUUUCCCAGGGCGAGGCUUAUCCAUUGCACUCCAGGUGGGCUGCCCCAACAAUUUCCCCAAAUGUGGGAACUCGACUGCAUAAUUUGUGGUAGUAGGGGACUGCAUCCAUUCUCACUCGUG